CCUACGGGCGGCAGCAGUGGGGAAUAUUGGACAAUGGGGGCAACCCUGAUCCAGCCAUGCCGCGUGUGUGAAGAAGGCCCUCGGGUUGUAAAGCACUUUCAGUGAGGAAGAACGCCUGGUGGUUAAUACCCAUCAGGAAAGACAUCACUCACAGAAGAAGCACCGGCUAACUCCGUGCCAGCAGCCGCGGUAAUACGGAGGGUGCGAGCGUUAAUCGGAAUUACUGGGCGUAAAGCGCGCGUAGGUGGCUUGAUAAGCCGGUUGUGAAAGCCCCGGGCUCAACCUGGGAACGGCAUCCGGAACUGUCAAGCUAGAGUGCAGGAGAGGAAGGUAGAAUUCCCGGUGUGGCGGUGAAAUGCGUAGAGAUCGGGAGGAAUACCAGUGGCGAAGGCGGCCUUCUGGACUGACACUGACACUGAGGUGCGAAAGCGUGGGUAGCAAACAGGAUUAGAUACCCUAGUAGUC
This 465-nucleotide ribosomal RNA is filed under the name Vreelandella stevensii. RNAcentral describes it as "partial 16S ribosomal RNA". It matches the Rfam family "Bacterial small subunit ribosomal RNA", at positions 338 to 795 of the family's 1533-position model. Lineage: Bacteria; Pseudomonadati; Pseudomonadota; Gammaproteobacteria; Oceanospirillales; Halomonadaceae. The record is from RNAcentral.